This 482-nucleotide ribosomal RNA is filed under the name uncultured bacterium. RNAcentral's name for it is "partial 16S ribosomal RNA". It matches the Rfam family "Bacterial small subunit ribosomal RNA", at positions 30 to 507 of the family's 1533-position model. The record is from RNAcentral.
AUUGAACGCUGGCGGCAUGCUUUACACAUGCAAGUCGAACGGUAACAGGCCGCAAGGUGCUGACGAGUGGCGAACGGGUGAGUAAUGCAUCGGAACGUGCCCAGUCGUGGGGGAUAACUACUCGAAAGAGUAGCUAAUACCGCAUACGAUCUAUGGAUGAAAGCGGGGGACCGUAAGGCCUCGCGCGAUUGGAGCGGCCGAUGUCAGAUUAGGUAGUUGGUGGGGUAAAGGCUCACCAAGCCAACGAUCUGUAGCUGGUCUGAGAGGACGACCAGCCACACUGGGACUGAGACACGGCCCAGACUCCUACGGGAGGCAGCAGUGGGGAAUUUUGGACAAUGGGCGCAAGCCUGAUCCAGCAACGCCGCGUGCAGGAAGAAGGCCUUCGGGUUGUAAACUGCUUUUGUACGGAACGAAACGGCUCUGGUUAAUACCCGGGGCUAAUGACGGUACCGGAAGAAUAAGCACCGGCUAACUACGUG